GGCGGUUCUUGGGUGACACACCUCAGAAUCGGGCUCCUUCCUCUCUGGUUCCGGGUGCGUCACCCAAGAACUGCC
This is a non-coding RNA of Myotis brandtii (Brandt's bat), 75 nucleotides long. The record is from Rfam. Lineage: Eukaryota; Metazoa; Chordata; Mammalia; Chiroptera; Vespertilionidae.